CUGACGGCGCCUGGAACCUUCCGGUGCGAUGCGGGGUAUCAAUGGAGGGGCGGGGAGCGGCGGUCCCGUGACGGAGGCUGGGGGCGGGGCCUCCUGUGUUCCGCUCCCCUUGGAGGUGAUACCCCGUGAGGGCAGCAGGGGGCGCUGCUAAUACAGCCUCGCCGGAGAAGCGCCGUGGGAGGCGCUGAAGUUCUCCAACCCGUCGCGAAGUAAUUCCGUUCCUUCGAUGGUGACCCCGGGGUCAGCGCCCGGCUCUGUCUUGCUCGCUCCCCCACAUAUUUCCCGGUCCCCCGAGAUUCGUGCCUCGGGGACUUCCUGCAUGCCGUUACCCCGGGGGGAAUUCUGCUUCCACGAAUGUGUCCAGCGCCUCUGAAAAUACUUCUUGUUUAUACGGCAUUUAUUUAUAGGGUUCCUGCAAAGGAGGAAUGGCUCCCUGGUGGCGUUCCCUCCCGCUCGGGCCACUACAUGAACACUGUUGGAGAUUCUGGGAAUUUAGAGAAGACGGAGUCAGACCCUCCGGAGAGGUUUACACUGAGAAGGAUGAGAGGCAACGGACAAUUUGGAAAAGGAAAAUUUGACUUUGAUACCAAGAAGGAAAGAUCACAAUGAGUGUGAUAAAAAAACUGAAACAGGUGCCCAGGGAGGCUGUGGGAUCCAUAUCCUUGGAGGUAUUCAAAACUAGCUGUACAAGGCCCUGAGCAACCUGUUGCUGGGCUCCAUUUGAGUAAAGGUCUGCAGCGGUCCCUUUCCAUCUGCACCAAUCUCUGACACUUUUAUGAAGCCCAUUAGCUUCAUAAGCCCAUUAGCAGGAAAAAAAAAAAGGGAAUCAUUUCCACACUUUUUUGAAAGAGCAGUAAUUCUCAUGCUCUUGGUGAAGAACCAAUGGAGCAAUAUGGCAUUUUAACAUGUUAGCUAAGGAGAAAGAAUCAUAAACUAUUUGCAUGAGCAUAAAGCAAAGGGGACAAAUCCUGCUGGUAGCUGAGCACACGUACUGACCUUCACAGGAAUUGAGCCUGCUCAUCAUUUUGCAAGUUCACAUGAUAAGAAAAGGAACCAGCGUGAGAUCCUUUUUAUGCAGAAUUACAGAGAAAAAUCCCUUUCAAGUUGAGUGAAUGUAAGCAUGGAUGCCUCUGCUUCCAAGCUCGGAGUACAGUGUGGUGAAGGCUGAUAAAGAUCUGUGAGAGGUUCUUCACCCCAUCCUUUUUUUUUUUUCCAAGCUAAAAACAGAAGGCACACCCGUAAAGGUGAUGUGGUGACGUGGUGGCUGCUCGCUGAAGGGAGGCCAAAAUUGCAACCAUUUGCCUUCCCUUUCCCCCUGGCCUCUGCAGCUCUGUAAGGCUUUCUGACUCCCAGCAACUUUCUCCGCAAAACCUGUUCUCUCAUCGAGUUAUCUCCUCUGCAGAGGAGAGACACAAAUACCAGCUUGUCUCUUUUCAAUCAAGGAACAUGCAGUGCCAGAGGAUGAAGCAUCGGAUUCUUUACUUUUGAUUGAGGCUAAUUAGUGUUUGCUCUAAAGAACAUUAGAAAAAAAUACUGAGUAUUCAGAUUGCUGGAACUCACAGCCAGAGCACGGCUGCCUGAAGCAAUGGGGCUGCCUGGUACAAGUCCAGAGGUUCUCACUGAGGGGUGAGGAGGGAAGCCCAAUGAAGGCAGCUGCUUCUAUUUGUUUUGCAGGCAGCUCUGCUAUUAGGAAUCUACAAAAAAAAUAAAGAAGUCAUAAUGAAUGGAUGCUGUGUUCUGCGCUUUAUCUGUCUGCACUUAACAAGCAUAAUCAAAGCAUCACUACUGGCACUGAGACGAGAGGUUCUAUUUCUCCAGCUGGUCAGGUUUCUCCAGGAAAACUCAGUUCUAGCCCAGCGUCUGACAUGCAACGUAGUGUUCUGUAGACAUCUUAUAGACAAAUCUGAGUGCAGGGCUCUGGGCCCAGUGCCUUCUCAAGCUCUGUGUCGUGCUUUAGCCUGGCAGGCAGCUCAGCACCACACCGCAGUUCACUCCCUCUCUGGGCAAAAGGAUGGGAGAAAGAACCAGGAAAAAAAAGAGAAAAGAAACUCAGGAGUUGAGAUAACAAUCAUUUAAUAAGAAAGAAAAGGGAAAAAACCCAACCAAAACCAAGUGAUGUACAGUGCCAUUGCUCACUGCCAGCCAACUGAUGCCCAGCCAGUCCCUGAGCAAUGCUAGCCACCCCCAAACAGCCAACUGUCUCAGUAUUGUUGCUGAAUGUGGUGCCAUAUGGUACAGGACAUCCCUUUGGACAGUCUGGAUCAGUUAUUCUGGUGCUGUUCCACUCCAGGUCCUCACUGGCUGAGCAACUCCUUGCCCAAGUCUUUGGUUCUGCGCAAACACUGCUCAGCAACAACUAAUCAUCACUGCACUAUCUUCAUUAUUCUCACAGUAAGUCCAAAACACAGCACUACACCAGCUACAGUGACGAAAAUUAACUAUCCCAGCUGAAGCCAAGACCCUCUCAGAUCUACAUUUAUGGCUGGUGAUCAGUUUUACACUUGACCAAGACAAGCUUUACAUUCCAAUUUAGUUCAGCUAUGGGGAAAUGUGCCUGCAAGUCCAGGCAAAAAGAUUCUGGCCUGGAUGUAACACUCCUCACAUAUUGCAAGAGAUUUCUUUUGUGGGACAAAGUGAAAUCUCAGUGCUUAAUGGUAAGGAUCGCAUGGAUCUGUGCUGAACAGAUGGAAGAGAUAUUGCAUAAAGCCUAGUUCAUGUGUUCUUUGAUUACUGCCUGUUAGCCUUUAUCUCAGACUCUUGGAAACACCAGCUUUCUAUCAAAAGGAAAUGUCACCACUUUAGCUAAUAGACUUUUUUUUCUUUCCCUCGCAAGAGACUCUAAUUGACUUUUUUUUCCAGUUGAAUACAGCUUUAAAAAUGAAUAUUUAAUGUCAGGCAUUAAAGUUCCUACAUUGGCUUGCAGAGGAAAUCUUGACUCACACAGAUGCUUGUCAAGAGGAAGAAAAGGGAGACCAUGCUUCCCUCCCCUCCAAGACACAGAAAAGGAUUUGUCUUGAUGCAGCUCUGCAGUAUAGGCAAUUUUAUGCCUGAAGAGGGAUUUUCCCCCCCAGCCCUUCCUACAAGGCUCUGAGCUAUGGGGCAGCUGCGUCCAGCAGCCAUUGCCUCCAACAGCCUCACACUUCAUUCAGAAAAGAGCUGAAGCUGGCAGGCUUGGGGCUUGCUCCUGUCCAGAAGUCAAGGAGAUGUGCCAAUUCCUGGCAAUUAAUAUUUUGUGCUUUUUCCCAGCUGAAUAAUUCCCCAGCUUUGCAGAUCAAGCAAGAGACAUACUCAAAUUGCUUUGCAGUACUAAAUUCUGGGAAGCAAAUGGAGGACUUGUAACAAAUCUGUUGAACAACUUGUUUAAUCUUGAGCGUCUGCUCAAGCCCCUUGACUGCAGGCUUAAAGUGAAAGCAUAUGCCUCGUGCAGUAGCAACUCAAACGUGAGCAGAAUCAGGGCCAUUUUGAGGCACUGAUCAUACUACGUUGCCAUCUAUAUCAGAGCUUCCUGCUGCUCCAUGGUAGCCUGAUAGCUGAUGUCAGACUUCCUCAAGAGAGUGUUAAUUUUAUGAAGUGCCGUGGAUAACAGGGCCCUUCCUGAAACCAGCAGGUCAGUCUGUACUGCAAAGUGUGGAGAUUUCCAUCUGCCUUGAGGAUGGUGAACAUCGCUUUUGUGCAGAGGAAUAGCUGACCCUUCCUGCUAAUGGGCUAAACCAUUUGCUGUCCGUGUAAAUCACGCAAGGAACACUUGAAUGUAGCUAAUUGCUAAAAAUACCCCAAGUUUCAGCAGUAGAAAAGCUGACAAUUCUUCCAAGUCAUGUUAAAAAUACUGCUUUAGUAUGGCUUCAGUGGGAGCUGCAUCCUGUGAGCGCUGCAAGCAGAAUGGGACUGCCAUCAUCCCUGGGUGGGAUUCCUCUACCAUGUGAUAUGUCCUGUGGGUGCCGCAGCACAGCAGGAGGGAAGCUACAAGCUCUGAAAAUGUGCCUGCAAUAACAAUCAAGCAUUCUGGGCCUGUAUUUCCCCCCCCCCCCCCCGACUCAUCACAGCUUUGCACUUUUUUCCCCCCAAGCUUACUUUAUCAGGUCAAACCUUCUUUGGAGUGCAAACCUGAAUAUCUGAAGCCACAGGAAUGACAGACUGAUGGCUGUUGGCACUGGCUGAUGAAGAACAAGUCACAAGUGCUGGAGAACUCCAGCCAGCAAUCCUUCUGGGCUGGGGACUCGAACGGUGAUGAAAAAUGACAGCAGUGUAUUGAUAUCUCCCAUUUCAUUAUGUGAGCUUGGUGAAUUUCGGUUAUAGCACCCACGUUUGGUUAUAAUGGGGAAGGCAGAUCUGAAUGUCUUUGUACACUAGAGGGUAGACUGAUAGAAGUUAUCCCUGGAGGUGUUCAAGGCCAGGUUGGAUGAGGUCCUGAGCAGCCUGAUCCAGUGCCUGGUUCAGUGGUUGGCAACCCUGUCCACAACAGGGCCUUGGAACUGGAUGAUCUUUGGACGUUCCUUCCAACCCCAGCCAUUCUAUGAUUCUACAGAGGCCAAGGAUAUGCCGUGGGUUGCUACCUCUUCUGUUCCAAACAAUCCACUGGAUCGGGAGUGAGCCCUGGAGUACUUUCAAUUGCAUUGCUGCCA
This is a long non-coding RNA of Gallus gallus (chicken), 4622 nucleotides long. NCBI's taxonomy places the organism in Eukaryota, Metazoa, Chordata, Aves, Galliformes, Phasianidae. The record is from Ensembl.